Molecule: ribosomal RNA, 433 nt
Filed under: uncultured bacterium
Lineage: Bacteria
Description: partial 16S ribosomal RNA
Rfam family: Bacterial small subunit ribosomal RNA
Source: RNAcentral
AGCGAACGCUGGCGGCAGGCCUAACACAUGCAAGUCGAACGAACUCUUCGGAGUUAGUGGCGGACGGGUGAGUAACACGUGGGAACGUGCCUUUUGGUUCGGAAUAACUCAGGGAAACUUGUGCUAAUACCGAAUGUGCCCUUCGGGGGAAAGAUUUAUCGCCAUUAGAGCGGCCCGCGUCUGAUUAGCUCGUUGGGUAGGUAACCGCUCACCAAGGCGCCGAUCAGUAGCUGGUCUGAGAGGAUGACCAGCCACACUGGGACUGAGACCCGGCCCAGAAUCCUACGGGAUGGAGCAGUGGGGAAUCUUGCGCAAUGGGGGAAAGCCUGACGCAGCCAUGCCGGGUGAAUUAUGAAGGUCUUAGGAAUGUAAUAUUCUUUCAACGGGGACGAUAAUGACGGUACCCGGAGAAGAAGCCCCGGCUAACUUCGUG